This 374-nucleotide ribosomal RNA is filed under the name uncultured bacterium. RNAcentral's name for it is "bacterial SSU rRNA". It matches the Rfam family "Bacterial small subunit ribosomal RNA", at positions 524 to 897 of the family's 1533-position model. The record is from RNAcentral.
UACAGAGGGUGCAAGCGUUAAUCGGAAUGACUGGGCGUAAAGGGCGCGUAGGCGGUUAAUUAAGUUAGAUGUGAAAUACCUGGGCUUAACCUGGGUGCUGCAUAUAAUACUGAUUAGCUAGAGUAGAGUAGAGGGAAGAGGAAUUUCCGGUGUAGCGGUGAAAUGCGUAGAUAUCGGAAAGAACAUCAGUGGCGAAGGCGUCUUCCUGGACUCAUACUGACGCUGAGGCGCGAAAGCGUGGGGAGCAAACAGGAUUAGAUACCCUGGUAGUCCAUGCUGUAAACGAUGAAAACUAGAUGUUGGUGGGUAAAACCUAUCAGUAUCGAAGCAAACGCGAUAAGUUUUCCGCCUGGGGAGUACGGCCGCAAGGUUAA